AUUGAACGCUGGCGGCAUGCUUUACACAUGCAAGUCGAACGGUAACAGGCCGCAAGGUGCUGACGAGUGGCGAACGGGUGAGUAAUGCAUCGGAACGUGCCCAGUCGUGGGGGAUAACGCAGCGAAAGCUGUGCUAAUACCGCAUACGAUCUAUGGAUGAAAGCGGGGGACCGUAGGGCCUCGCGCGAUUGGAGCGGCCGAUGUCAGAUUAGGUAGUUGGUGGGGUAAAGGCUCACCAAGCCAACGAUCUGCAGCUGGUCUAAGAGGACGACCAGCCACACUGGGACUGAGACACGGCCCAGACUCCUACGGGAGGCAGCAGUGGGGAAUUUUGGACAAUGGGCGCAAGCCUGAUCCAGCAAUGCCGCGUGCAGGAAGAAGGCCUUCGGGUUGUAAACUGCUUUUGUACGGAACGAAAAGGUUUGGGUUAAUACCCUGGGCCGAUGACGGUACCGUAAGAAUAAGCACCGGCUAACUACGUGCCAGCCGCCGCCGUAA
RNAcentral lists this ribosomal RNA (498 nucleotides) under uncultured bacterium. Its description in RNAcentral is "partial 16S ribosomal RNA". It matches the Rfam family "Bacterial small subunit ribosomal RNA", at positions 30 to 523 of the family's 1533-position model. The record is from RNAcentral.